RNAcentral lists this ribosomal RNA (553 nucleotides) under Salmonella enterica. Its description in RNAcentral is "partial 23S ribosomal RNA". It matches the Rfam family "Bacterial large subunit ribosomal RNA", at positions 1 to 591 of the family's 2925-position model. RNAcentral also lists the same sequence under 4 other names. Lineage: Bacteria; Pseudomonadati; Pseudomonadota; Gammaproteobacteria; Enterobacterales; Enterobacteriaceae. The record is from RNAcentral.
GGUUAAGCGACUAAGCGUACACGGUGGAUGCCCUGGCAGUCAGAGGCGAUGAAGGGCGUGCUAAUCUGCGAUAAGCGCCGGUAAGGUGAUAUGAACCGUUAUAACCGGCGAUACCCGAAUGGGGAAACCCAGUGUGACUCGUCACACUAUCAUUAACUGAAUCCAUAGGUUAAUGAGGCGAACCGGGGGAACUGAAACAUCUAAGUACCCCGAGGAAAAGAAAUCAACCGAGAUUCCCCCAGUAGCGGCGAGCGAACGGGGAGGAGCCCAGAGCCUGAAUCAGCAUGUGUGUUAGUGGAAGCGUCUGGAAAGGCGCGCGAUACAGGGUGACAGCCCCGUACACAAAAGCGCAUGUGCUGUGAGCUCGAUGAGUAGGGCGGGACACGUGGUAUCCUGUCUGAAUAUGGGGGGACCAUCCUCCAAGGCUAAAUACUCCUGACUGACCGAUAGUGAACCAGUACCGUGAGGGAAAGGCGAAAAGAACCCCGGCGAGGGGAGUGAAAAAGAACCUGAAACCGUGUACGUACAAGCAGUGGGAGCACAGGUUUACCUG